RNAcentral lists this ribosomal RNA (423 nucleotides) under Rhipicephalus pusillus. RNAcentral's name for it is "partial 16S ribosomal RNA". Lineage: Eukaryota; Metazoa; Arthropoda; Arachnida; Ixodida; Ixodidae. The record is from RNAcentral.
UUGCUGUGGUAUUUUGACUAUACAAAGGUAUUGAAAUAAGAUUUUAAUUGAAUGCUAAGAGAAUGGAAUUUCAGAAAAAAACUUUUUUUAAAUUAAAAAUUGAAAUUUUUUUAAUUUGUGCAGAAACAAUUAUUAACAUUAAGGACAAGAAGACCCUAUGAAUUUUUGAAAUUUUUAAUAAUAGUAAUUUAUUAUUAUUAAAAAUUUUAGCUGGGGCGGCUAAAAAAUAUAAUUAACUUUUUAAAAAUAAAACGAUCCACUAAUAAUGAUUACAUGUUAAAUACUCUAGGGAUAACAGCGUUAUAUUUUUUGAUAGACCAUAUUGACAAAAAAGUUUGCGACCUCGAUGUUGGAUUAGGAUACUUUUUUAAUGAAGAUAUUAAAAAAAGAAGUUUGUUCAACUUUUAAUUUCCUACUUGAUCU